Molecule: ribosomal RNA, 437 nt
Filed under: uncultured bacterium
Lineage: Bacteria
Description: bacterial SSU rRNA
Rfam family: Bacterial small subunit ribosomal RNA
Source: RNAcentral
AACGCGAAGAACCUUACCAAGGCUUGACAUGGCCUCAAAAGCCGCAGAGAUGCGGUGUCCGCAAGGGGGGUCACAGGUGGUGCAUGGCUGUCGUCAGCUCGUGUCGUGAGAUGUUGGGUUAAGUCCCGCAACGAGCGCAACCCUCGUCCUAUGUUGCCAGCGGGUAAUGCCGGGGACUCAUGGGAGACUGCCGGGGUCAACUCGGAGGAAGGUGGGGAUGACGUCAAGUCAUCAUGCCCCUUAUGUCUUGGGCUGCAAACAUGCUACAAUGGCCGGUACAAAGGGCUGCGAUGCCGUGAGGCGGAGCGAAUCCCGGAAAGCCGGUCUCAGUUCGGAUCGGGGUCUGCAACUCGACCCCGUGAAGUCGGAGUCGCUAGUAAUCGCGAAUCAGCAACGUCGCGGUGAAUACGUUCCCGGGCCUUGUACACACCGAUAGC